Molecule: ribosomal RNA, 2738 nt
Filed under: Triticum aestivum (bread wheat)
Lineage: Eukaryota; Viridiplantae; Streptophyta; Magnoliopsida; Poales; Poaceae
Description: partial small subunit ribosomal RNA
Source: RNAcentral
UUUUUCCUGCCCGUAACGAAGGGAGUCAGGUGGAGCGAGCGAGGAGUCUAGAUUAGUAAUAAAUUAGGAAAAGUGGAGGUCGCGGAGCGGUGUACUCGCGAGGGGGGAGGAGGAGGGGGAGGGGGCGAGGCUAGGGGGUCGGGCGGCGUUGGGAUCGGGGGCGGUCGUACGCGCCGCGCCGCCGCCUGCUGCUGAGGAGGCCGAGCAGCGGCAGCGCCUACAGCCUCCUGCUGCUGCUGCCGCUGCCGCCCCGCCCUGCCCCGCUGUCCACCCGCGGCCUAGACUCCCCGCCGUUGCCGUUGCCGCCCUCCACCCGCGGCGGCCUGGUCCACGACCUCUUGCACGACCUCUCGCACGAGCUCAAGGAGUGCCGCCGCGCGCUGGCGUUGCGCCGGAGCGAGCAGACGGCGAGGACCAUGGCGCGGCUCCGCGUCUGGGCGGCGCUCGAGAAGUAGCCGUUGACGAUGCGGCAGAGCGGCGCGGCGCGGCAGCUCGCGAAGCCCCCGCACGCGCGGCAGCACGAGUUCCCCUUCGGGGCGAAGCGGCUGAAGUCGGAGCACGGCGUGCCGACCCCGCGGAUGCAGAGGGGGACCCAGCGGCGCGAGCCGGGGCGGAUGGGCGCGGAGCUCGCGUAGACGGAGUUCGCCUACUGGCAGAGGCUGCUGCUCGAGCGCGAGUAGGGGUUCAGGAAGGGCGAGAAGUUCCUCGAGAGCGAGCAGACGACGCUGCCGAAGUGGUGGGCGCCGGAGCGGCAGUAGCGGCUCCCGACGGCCGUAGAAGCCCAUGACCUAGACUGACUUCUAAUAAAGGUACUCCUCCUCUCGCUCCACCACCUAACCUAGAGGUUCAAAGGUCUCUCGUUGUGCAGCGACCUUAGCGAACAUAAACUAACACAAUCACAGGGUAAGUUGAAACUCCGGGACCUCCGUGAACAACGUGCGAGUGGUCGAGACGCAGCAGACGCGCAGUUACUAGUACACAGCUAUCUCGUCAACGCAGCAGAGUACCGUUCCCGUGGGGUAGAUUGAGUGGAACCGUGACCUAGUAAGGCUAGACUCGGUCCGGGACCCCCACGAAACAGACACAGACUCGAGCGAUGGAGAAAGCGCCGCAGGUCUAGUGAACAAACAAACAGUCCAAAGAACCUACGGUUACGUCGUAUGGAGGGUCGUUAGAUGGUUCAAACACGGUUAGAGUGAAGGGAGUUAAAAUCGAAACGCCCAGAUUGUCUACUUCUCAAGUAUGGUCAAUAAGCGGUAACGUAGUUAGAAGCGUGAAAUACCCAAGAACUAUGACACCCACUACUUCCGGAAUCCCGACACCGACUUUGUACGAGUUUAGAGGCACUCGAUGCACAAAAAGGAGACCUACGGUGGCUCCUAAGACUCCCGAGUCAGAGUCUAUAACCAGAGGUCCGUUAGAGUCUUCCGACGGCUUUCGAGCUUAGUUAAGAGAUGAAAACGGUCGCGUACUGUUUACGUCGUCAUUAACGAUACAGGCUCUUGACGGGACUGGAAAACCACAAGGCGGAGACAUAAUACCCGGCGGUGGCGGGACUAGCCUAAUGGCCCCGCGGGUACCUACUCCCAAAACCCCGCUAACACUACUUGACGUUCUUCGAGUGGUCUGAGAGUCAGAGACCGGACGAGUGACUAUUCCGCAAACGUAUGUAACCCUCUGUGCCUUUUGAGUAUUUCUGAGACAGACAACGGAAACGACCCUUAUCACUGUACAGAGAAGUCGUACACAAACUCCCCACGUGAUCCAACGUCUUCGAGCUCCAGUCUCUAUCGGGAAAACCGCUGUUUCCUAACGAGAGACCGGACUUGAUAAAAAUGUUGUACUCCAAGAAAACCUACUUGAGUACGUCCGAUUGACACUUCCCAACACCCCUACAUCGAGUCGUUUACGGAUUAGACCACCAACUUCAUUACUUCCUUUUACUUCCCCUUUACCUAUGGCAACUAUUCGACAUGGACAUAGCUAGCAACCGUCCUGGUUCCCUUCUACGAGGUAGUAAACAGUUGUAGAACAUCAUGACGGUAACUUCUUCAAACAACAUGCCAGUACAAACAAGAUGAUAAGGGCUAGUAACGACAACAUAAGGACAAGUUCAUAAGGUCUCGGUCUCUCCUUCGAGGGGCGCCUACUAAAACUUAACACCCCUUAUACUUACGUAGUAAAUUAAUUCGUUUGGUAGUUAAUAAGAAGAGACCCGACUAACACAGCUCUGAACUUGGACAUGCUCCAAAGAAACUACAUACAUGGAACCACUCCGUAGAGUAGAACACUCAGUGACAUAAGGGUUACCUUAGACUCAAUAAAAGGACCGGUCGUGGUCUGACUACGGAAACAACAUGGCAUCAACUCAACAGCCUUGGCUAAUCACUAACGUGUCUCUAACCGACGUCCAACUGAGGUUAAGCCGUCGUCUCUAAAAUGUACCAAGGAAAACGGGAGUUCAGAGGUCGGUAACUACAAAACGGUGCAUGACAAGUCAGAUAGACGAGUCUGCUUCCUUGCCGUAAUAGAUACAACGUUACAAGGUAGUUGAAAAAACGGAACAUAAAAUCUAAUAGGGUCGAUGCUAUUUAAAAGAGAAGGGUAAAAAAUAUCAAAGGUGUUGAAUAAAAACAUCUAGUUACAUCUGGUGAUAGUGAAAAGGACCAGUGUUGGAAGACGACAAUAAUUAGUUCUUCUAUAACCUACUAGUUUAAGUCAGUCGUAGUUAAACAAUG